Molecule: ribosomal RNA, 253 nt
Filed under: uncultured bacterium
Lineage: Bacteria
Description: partial 16S ribosomal RNA
Rfam family: Bacterial small subunit ribosomal RNA
Source: RNAcentral
GACAGAGGGUGCAAACGUUGUUCGGAUUUACUGGGCGUAAAGCGCGUGUAGGCGGCUUGGCAAGUCGGAUGUGAAAGCCCACGGCUCAACCGUGGAAGCGCAUCCGAAACUGCUUCGCUCGAGUCUCGGAGAGGAAGGUGGAAUGCUUGGUGUAGAGGUGAAAUUCGUAGAUAUCAAGCAGAACACCUGCGGCGAAGGCGGCCUUCUGGACGAUGACUGACGCUGAGACGCGAAAGCGUGAGGAGCAAACAGG